UACGGGAGGCAGCAGGGGGGAAUAUUGCACAAUGGGCGCAAGCCUGAUGCAGCCAUGCCGCGUGUAUGAAGAAGGCCUUCGGGUUGUAAAGUACUUUCAGUCGUGAGGAAGGUGUUAAGGUUAAUAACCUUAGCAAUUGACGUUAGCGACAGAAGAAGCACCGGCUAACUCCGUGCCAGCAGCCGCGGUAAUACGGAGGGUGCGAGCGUUAAUCGGAAUUACUGGGCGUAAAGAGCGCGUAGGCUGAUUAGUAAGUUAAAAGUGAAAUCCCAAAGCUUAACUUUGGAAUUGCUUUUUAAAACUGCUAGUCUAGAGAUUGAAAGAGGAUAGAGGAAUUCCUAGUGUAGAGGUGAAAUUCGUAAAUAUUAGGAGGAACACCAGUGGCGAAGGCGUCUAUCUGGUUCAAAUCUGACGCUGAGGCGCGAAGGCGUGGGGAGCAAACAGGGAUUAGAUACCCGU
This 459-nucleotide ribosomal RNA is filed under the name uncultured bacterium. RNAcentral's name for it is "bacterial SSU rRNA". It matches the Rfam family "Bacterial small subunit ribosomal RNA", at positions 340 to 789 of the family's 1533-position model. The record is from RNAcentral.